Molecule: ribosomal RNA, 519 nt
Filed under: uncultured eukaryote
Lineage: Eukaryota
Description: SSU rRNA
Rfam family: Eukaryotic small subunit ribosomal RNA
Source: RNAcentral
AGGGCGCCACCAGGGGUGGAGCCUGCGGCUUAAUUUGACUCAACACGGGGAAACCCAUCCGGUCCGGACACCGUGAGGAUUGACAGAUUGAGAGCUCUUUCUUGAUUUGGUGGGCAGUGGUGCAUGGCCGUUCUUAGUUGGUGGAGUGAUUUGUCUGGUUUAUUCCGAUAACGAACGAGACUCUGGCCUACUAACUAGUUGCGCGAUUGAGGAGUCGUGCCAACUUCUUAGAGGGACAAGCGGUGCUCAGCCGCAUGAAAAAGAGCAAUAACAGGUCUGUGAUGCCCUUCGAUGUUCGGAGCUGCACGCGCGCUACACUGUGAGUGGCAGCAUGUUAGCUUGCCUCGCUCGCAAGAGUGGGGUAAUCGGUUGAAAAUCUCACGUGAUUGGGAUAGGGACUUGUAAUUAUUUCCCUUGAACGAGGAAUCCCUAGUAAGUGCAGGUCAUCAGCUUGCGCUGAUUACGUCCCUGCCCUUUGUACACACCGCCCGUCGCUGCCCGGAACUGAAGCAUCUCGAG